UGCAGUCGGACGGUAACAGGAGGGAGCUUGCUUCCUUGCUGACGAGUGGCGGACGGGUGAGUAAUGCUUGGGAAUCUGUCUUAGGGAGGGGGAUAACCACGGGAAACUGUGGCUAAUACCGCGUAUAAUCGGAAGAUGAGAGGUGUGGGAUCGAAAGACCAUAUGCCCUAAGGUGAGCCCAAAUGAGAUUAGGUAGUUGGUGGGGUAAAGGCCUACCAAGCCGACGAUCUCUAGCUGGUCUGAGACGAUGACCAGCCACACUGGGACUGAGACACGGCCCACACUCCUACGGGAGGCAGCAGUGGGGAAUAUUGCGCAAUGGGGGCAACCCUGACGCAGCCAUGCCGCGUGAAUGAACAAGGCCUUCGGGUUGUAAAGUUCUUUCAUUGGUGAGGAAGGUAAUAAUGUUAAUACUAUUAUUAAUUGACGUUACCCAAAGAAGAAGCACCGUCUAAUUCCGUGCCAGCAGCCGCGGUAAUACGGAAAGUGCCAGCGUUAAUCGGAAUAACUGGGCGUA
This 517-nucleotide ribosomal RNA is filed under the name uncultured bacterium. RNAcentral's name for it is "bacterial SSU rRNA". It matches the Rfam family "Bacterial small subunit ribosomal RNA", at positions 56 to 562 of the family's 1533-position model. The record is from RNAcentral.